This 440-nucleotide ribosomal RNA is filed under the name uncultured bacterium. RNAcentral's name for it is "partial 16S ribosomal RNA". It matches the Rfam family "Bacterial small subunit ribosomal RNA", at positions 338 to 795 of the family's 1533-position model. The record is from RNAcentral.
CCUACGGGCGGCAGCAGUGGGGAAUAUUGCACAAUGGGGGAAACCCUGAUGCAGCGACGCCGCGUGAGUGAAGAAGGAUUUCGGGAUGUAAAGCUCUAUCAGCAGGGAAGAAAAUGACGGUACCUGAGUAAGAAGACCCGGCUAACUACGUGCCAGCAGCCGCGGUAAUACGGAGGGGGCAAGCGUUAUCCGGAUUUACUGGGGGUACAGGGAGCGUAGACGGCAGCACAAGUCUGGAGUUAAAUGCCGGGGCUUAACCCCGGAACUGCUUUGGGAACUGUGCAGCUAGAGUGCAGGAGAGGUCAGUGGCCUUCCUCGUGUAGCGGUGAAAUGCUUAGAUCUUAGGCGGAACCCCAGUGGCGAAGGCGGCUUCCUGGACUGUAACUGACGUUGAGGCUCGACAGCGUGGGGAGCAAACAGGCUUAGAUACCCUGGUAGUC